Lates calcarifer (barramundi perch) is the source of this 6243-nucleotide long non-coding RNA. RefSeq lists it as uncharacterized. The transcript has 8 exons. The record is from RefSeq and is a predicted model, not a curated record. Lineage: Eukaryota; Metazoa; Chordata; Actinopteri; Centropomidae.
UCAUUGGUCACGAGUUUCUGGGAGGAGCUGUUCAGAGAGGAGAGACGGAUAUGAACCACGUUUGUGGCAUUGCCUCUGUUUGCCAGUACUGCUAGGUCCGGAUGCCUAAACUUUUUGUCGAACACGGGUGAGAUGCUAGAACAAACUCUGGAGCUGUUUUUGUCGAACACGGGUUUACUGGUUCAGCUGCUGCAGCCUGGACACAAACACCAGCUCCCACCUUAAAAAGCAAACAGAGGCCUGGACUACGAAGGGAGUUUAAGCCACUCUGAUUUAACUCGGGUUAUCAAGGAACGUCGGGGUUGACAGACGUCGGCUGCCUCGAUCUGCGUUAACUACAGCGACGGUUAAGAUGUCGAGAGAAGAGACCGACAUGAAGAUGUUUCCAGAAGCUAACGAAAUUGGCAUUCUGCUUGCUAGUCUGGCAUUCCAUCCAUCCGGAGAAAAACUCCAACCGCCAAAGUAGCAAACAACUGGUUCUGCUGAUAUGUCGACUACAGGAGAGGGUAUGGAAAUGACAAUGGAUGUGGCAGCGGAGAGUUUAAAACGGUGCCAUUCAUAUGCCAAACAACAACUUGCGGAUUUUGAUGACUCUCCAAGCGCGAGCCCACAGAAAAAAAUCACCCCGCUGUGAGCCGGAGCCCUCCAACGCUGUCCUGCUGGCGGCUAUUAACAAGCUCAUUGAGACGCAGCUCAGUUUCAGGGAGAAACUGGAAUCCAUAGAGAAGUCCAUUGAGAAUAAUGUCAAGAGGAUAGAGAGUUGGCAUCCAGAGUGGAUCCCCUGGAGCUCCAGAUUAAAACCCUGACCGCUGAAAAUAAGAAGCUGAUGGACAGAGUGAACGACAUGGAUGCAUACUUCAGCAUCCACCACGCCGCACUAUAGUCCGCUUUUCACACCGGGCACACCGUGACCAAGUCUGGGCGGACGCUAAAACCUCUCAGGUCCUCAAGCAGAAGAACGUGAAGAUAUCGGAGGACUUAACUCAGCAGGUGAGGGAUGCAAGAGCGAAGCUGUGGCCGCUGGUAGAAGAGGCGAGGAGGCCUUUUUGCUAUCACUGCUGGUAAGAAGAUAUCUGCAGAGGACUUGACAUGAAGUAUUUUCCUGAGUAUGUAGACUCAUCUAAUUGUGGAAAAUUUGAUUUUGAUAUAGCCUUUGGCAGCUGAGAGGAUAGCUCCUGUCCUGAACUUGUUGGGAUACUUGUUCCAUGGGAGACUCAUUCCACUUCAAAAGAUGAAGCAUUUUGGCGCAAUCAGUGGGGAGGGAAAGUUAUUUUUUCUCAUGGUACUAAUUUCUCAGGAGGUGUUUUAGUUUUACUCCAUGUUAAAUUUAAUGGUGAGAUCAUAUAUACAGAGGUUUCAGAUGGAUUCUGUUAGUAAUUCAAUGUGGAGAUAAUAUAUUUAUUUUGGUAAUGCUGGGAAUUCUAACAUCACACUCCUUAACUUUUUGUCUGACAAAAUUCUCCAAGAAAUGAACAAAUUUUCCUCAGCAUCUGUGAUUGUUGGCGGUGACUUUAAUGAGGCUCCAAACUUAUGUACAGAUAGAGGUAAUCAAGAUCAUUUUAACCCUGUUUAUAUUUGAUUUAACUGAUCAUGCUGGAAUAGAUAUUUCUUUAUCAAAUUUAAGUUCUGCUCACCACAACAAACCUGGAUACUGGAAGUUAAACUCUUCCUUUCUACAACAAUCAGCUUAUUGUUUGGGUAUUAAACAAAUGAUCACUAAAUUCAACUCAAUGUUUGAAAUUACACCUACGCUAAAAUGGGAGCUACUCAAAUUUAAAUGUCAAAGUUUUUUUGGAAAGCAGCAAUUAAGAGAUCAAAAUAAGGCUUAUGCUAAUAAUUUAAAAGAGUUGAAUGAUUUAUUAAAUAUACCUGUUCCAAGUAAUGAAGAUAAAGUGCGUUUGCACUCAUUAAGGGAAAAAUUAGACCUUUUAUUCCAGACAAAAGCAAGGGGAGCAUUCAUAAGGUCUCGGGCCAGAUGGUUGGAACAUGGAGAAAAGAACUCCUCCUUCUUUUUUAAUUUGGAGAAAAAACGUGGUGAGGCCAGAAAAAUAUCUGCCUUAUAUAUCGAUAACAGUCUCUCUGAAAAUGAUAAAGAAAUCUCUUCUUUUAUCUCUUAACUUUUAUCAAAAGUUAUACUCUUCCUCAUUUAACCCUCAGGCUUGUCGUGUCUUUUUUGAUAAAGUAUCCCCAUUCAUUCCUAAAACUUCCAGGGAGAAUUACGAGCUUUGUGAAAGUCCAAUUACACUAGAAGAAUCGAAGAAGACUAUUACAAAAAUGCCAGCUAAUAAAAGUCCUGGUCCAGAUGGAUUGCCUUAUGAAUUUUAUGUAACUUUUUGGGAUGAUUUAAUAAAACAUUUGUUGUUGGGAGUGUUUGUGGAUUGUGCCAGAAAUAAGGAACUGACUGUUUCUAUGAAGCAAGGUUUAAUAUCACUAAUCCCUAAACCUGGUAAAGAUCUUCUUUAUCUGGAUAAUUGGCGUCCUAUAACGUUGCUAAAUUCAGACUACAAAAUCCUUGCAGCACUGUACGCCAAUAGAUAAAAAUUUUGCUUAGAGGAAAUUAUUUCUGUAACACAGUCAGGUUUUAUGAAAGGUCGGCACAUUGCUAAUAAUAUUCGGCUUGUCCUAGACAUUUUAGAUUAUAGAGACCUGUUUGAUCAAAAGUCACUGAUUUAGUUUUUGGACUUUUACAAAGCUUUUGAUACUCUGGAACACUCGUUUAUUUUUGAGGCUUUGCAAUAUUUUGGGUUCAAAGAAAACUUCAGGAACAUCAUAAGUACACUCUAUACCAAUAUUAAUAGCUGUGUAUCCCUGGCACAUGGUACUUCUCCUCGCUUUCAUAUAAACCGUGGGAUAAGACCAAGGGUGUCCAAUUUCACCUUUCUUAUUUUUGGUAGCUGCUGAACUUCUUAAUCUGUUCAUUGUUAACUGUGUGAAUAUAGAGGGUAUUAAGAUAGGUGACAAUGUUCUAACCAUUAGUCAGCUGGCUGAUGACACCUGUCUGUUUCUCCAAAAUGAACUUCAAGUCCCUGGGUAUCACAAUAAGCAAAUCUAUUAGUGAGAGGAUCUCUCAAAACGUUCUGCCAAAAAUUGUCUAAAAAAGUCUAAAUCUAUCUUUAACUGCUGGUUACAGAGAGACCUUACUAUUAUAGGUUGAAUUUUACUUUCUAAGGCAGAAGGUUUAUCUAGAUUAGCGUACCCAGCUUUAUCUUUAUAUGUAGAUCGCAAAACCUGUGCAGCUAUUGAUUCACUCUUAUUUACAUUUAUUUGGAAACACAAAAAUGAGAAUAUAAAGAGGAAGACAAUUAUCAGACACUAUUCAGAGGGUGGUGUUAAUGUGUUAGACUUCCAAACUAUCAACAGUAUAUUCAAACUCAACUGGAUAAAACAUUGUCUAGCACAUACUAAUGCGCCAUGGUUUUUUAUUCCCAAUUUUUUGUUUAAUAAAUGUGGUGGUUAAUUUACUUUACCUCAAGUGAAUUGCCUGUUAAGCUUGCCAACUUCCAUAAGCAAGCCGUGGACACAUGGGAAAUUGCUUUCAAACUCAACUUUUCUCCUCACACAUGUAUCUUAUGGAAUAAUCAACAUAUUGUUUACAAGAAUAAGAUCUUAUUUUUUAAAGAUUGGUACGAUCAGGGGGUUAUGUUUGUUUUUGAUCUUGUGAAUGAUAAGGGAGACCUAGCUGCAUAUGAAGAAUUCACCCAACGAAAAGGAUUAGACUUAUCUCGCUCUUUGCACUCCAGAGUACUCAAAAGUAUACCCACUAGUUUGUUGUCUCUUAUUAGAGCGUCUGUUCUGUACACAGCUUUCUCAGGAAUGAGUCCUGCUCUGUGGCUGGGUGGAAAGGUUCUUGAGGAACGUUCAUGUAACAAUGCUCAUAUUAGGUCAGUUUGUACUUUUGUUCAUAGUCAGUAUCCAAACUCAUUUCAUCGUUGGAGAGUGAUGUUUCCUGAAAUCAGUAACAACAUCUGGACUGAAUUUAAUAGAUUUUUUUGUCUCCAAUAAAGUUAAAGAAAUACAUAUUAAAAUCUUACAUAGAUAUUAUCCCCGUAAUGAAUUCAUUAACAGAUUUAGACCUGAUGUGUCCCCUUUAUGUUCCUUCUGCAAAAAAGAGAUUGAGUCUUUAUGUCAUGUGUUUUAUGGAUGUGCCUAUUCUACUAACUUCUGGACUCUAUUAUCUUUAUUGAUUUGGGAAUAUCAUAAAGUUUUGGUCACUUUUACUGAAAAUAUGGUCUUAUUCUUAAAUGUUGACUGUAACAAUGAGGAAGUUAAAAAUGUAAUCAAAUUGCUGUGUCUCUUGGGUAAAUUUCACAUCCAUAAGGCUAGAUUUCUCCAGGCCAAGCCAAAUGUAUCUUUGUUUUAUAUGGAGUGCAAAUCUUUUAAUGACGCUAUAGGUAAAAUUAGUAAGAAUAAGAAAGCUUUCAAGACAUCCAAUCUUUUGGAAAGUAUUAUACGUCAUAUCAAUAGGUUAGUUUUUUUUCCUUUCUCCUGUGCUUUUUGUGUGAUAUUCAUUAUGUACUCCUUGUGUCUCCCUGUAUGUUUGGAUGAUGUCAUGUUUGUUUGUUAGUGUCUUUAAUGUGAUAAUAAAGUGUUAAAAAAAGAAAAGAAAAAAAAAGAAAGAAAGCGUAUGUCGUCAUUGGUUACGGCGUGGCUCGUCACUGGUCACGAGUUUCUGGGAGGAGCUGUUCAGAGAGGAGAGACGGAUAUGAGCCACGUUUGUAGCAUUGCCUCUGUUUGCCAGUACUGCUAGGUCCGGAUGCCUAAACUUUUUGUCGAACACGGGUGAGAUGCUAAAACAAGCUCUGGAGCUGUUUUGGUCGAACACGGGUUUACUGGUUCAGCUGCUGCAGCCUGGACACAAACACCAGCUCCCACCUUAGAAAGCAAACAGAGGCCUGGACUACGAAGGGAGUUUAAGCCACUCUGAUUUAACUCGGGUUAUCAAGGAACGUCGGGGUUGACAGACGUCGGCUGCCUCGAUCUGCGUUAACUACAGCGAUGGUUAAGAUGUCAUUUAUGUUGAUGUGUGAAAAGUUACAUCAUCUCCCAAUGGAGGGGGGACGCCCGCUUCCGCCCCAAGCACUCCGGGCAGCAGCCUGCCUCGCCCCACCUCCUUUGUGGGCACCACAAGCUCCACCCCCCGCAACAAGGUGACCCAACCAGUGCGAAGUUUACUGACACCUCCAAAGAGCUUGUCCACCCUCAGUGCACUUCGUGACAGCACCCAGAGAGAUGGCUGCUACUGACGAGCGGAGGAAAAGGUCCAGUAGUGCAUUGGCACUCCGCUGGCUGGGGUAACUCACUACACCUCAACGUAACAUCUUUCAUAAGGGGAUAUUGAAUGGGUUUGACCAAAAAGUAACCUUAGAUCUGAGAGAUGCUGCAUAGAAUAGGUAGAUGUUACCACAGUUGAGGGUCUGAUCUGUUCUCUGACUGAUCUCUCAUGUCAUCCAUUCAAUCCUAAGCAGAAGCUUCACACUCGUAGGCUGAGUUUGGUCCGUGCCAAGGGGGAGUUGGUCCCUAGUUGCUCUGUUGCAAUAAACCACUGGCUGUAGGGUAUCCGUCAUACUAACCUGCUAAAGAGGGCUGCCAGUUUUUAUGAAAUGAGCCUCACGAUACUGUAUGUAUUUAUAUAUUUAUUUUAGGUAAUUUUAGGUGGACUAAUCAGGUGUUUUUUCCCUCUGGCAACAGGCGCCAUUAAUGCUGCUAAAAUGUAAUCAGUCCCUCUUAGUUUGGGCACAUUUGGUGUAAUUUUUACAAGUAAGACAUUAAAGUAUGUAUUGGUGUACAAAGCUAACUAUUAAGUGUGUAUAUAUUGAUGCAAUAUGACUGAUUUUUAAAUGUGAAUUUUGACCAAAAUGAAAAUGUAUGAUUGUGUUUACAAAAUUGUCACCAUCACAAAACUUUGUGCAUAUUAAUACUUUCAAAUUGUUUAACAACCUAUAAGGGAAACUGUUCUUGUUGCAUUUUGUAUACAUUUCUGAAUUUACUGAUAUUUUUAUGUUCUGUUUACCAAUGUUUGCACUUCUUUUAAGUUGGCUCCUCUGGAUUUAGGGGGGGAAAAACGUUAAUUCAGAGAUUUCACAGUUAACCACGGCAUAAUGUAGCACAUUUGCUCUGUAAUAUUUGUCUUGGGGUUUUAAAUGACCGUUAACAUGGCACAUCUCACAAACUGUGACACUUUUGUUGCUGUGAUGGACUGAAUGAGUGAAGCAUUUUAAUAAAAUACACUGUUUUCCCCUUAAA